UACGUAGGGGGCAAGCGUUGUCCGGAGUUACUGGGCGUAAAUCGCACGCAGGCGGUCUUUUAAGUUUGGAGUGACAGUUGGUGGCUUAACUGCCAAAGUGCUUCGAAAACUGAGAGACUUGAGGGCUUCAGAGGGACACGGAAUUCCGGGUGGAGUGGUGAAAUGCGUAGAGAUCCGGAGGAACACCAAAGGCGAAGGCAGUGUCCUGGGGAGUACCUGACGCUCAGGUGCGAAAGCCAGGGGAGCGAACGGG
Molecule: ribosomal RNA, 253 nt
Filed under: uncultured bacterium
Lineage: Bacteria
Description: partial 16S ribosomal RNA
Rfam family: Bacterial small subunit ribosomal RNA
Source: RNAcentral